UCCUUCUUAGCUCAAUUGGUAGAGCGUGUCACUACGGUGCUGUGGAUGAAACAAAAUCAUGAAUCUAUGAUGACAAGGUUAGUCGUUUAAAUUGACUAGAAGGAA
Molecule: non-coding RNA, 105 nt
Organism: Rhodocollybia butyracea
Lineage: Eukaryota; Fungi; Basidiomycota; Agaricomycetes; Agaricales; Omphalotaceae
Source: the annotation of a GenBank genome assembly